This 459-nucleotide ribosomal RNA is filed under the name uncultured Streptococcus sp. RNAcentral describes it as "partial 16S ribosomal RNA". It matches the Rfam family "Bacterial small subunit ribosomal RNA", at positions 341 to 792 of the family's 1533-position model. The record is from RNAcentral. Lineage: Bacteria; Bacillati; Bacillota; Bacilli; Lactobacillales; Streptococcaceae.
ACGGAAGGCAGCAGUAGGGAAUCUUCGGCAAUGGGGGCAACCCUGACCGAGCAACGCCGCGUGAGUGAAGAAGGUUUUCGGAUCGUAAAGCUCUGUUGUAAGAGAAGAACGUGUGUGAGAGUGGAAAGUUCACACAGUGACGGUAACUUACCAGAAAGGGACGGCUAACUACGUGCCAGCAGCCGCGGUAAUACGUAGGUCCCGAGCGUUGUCCGGAUUUAUUGGGCGUAAAGCGAGCGCAGGCGGUUUAAUAAGUCUGAAGUUAAAGGCAGUGGCUUAACCAUUGUUCGCUUUGGAAACUGUUAGACUUGAGUGCAGAAGGGGAGAGUGGAAUUCCAUGUGUAGCGGUGAAAUGCGUAGAUAUUUGGAGGAACACCGGUGGCGAAAGCGGCUCUCUGGUCUGUAACUGACGCUGAGGCUCGAAAGCGUGGGGAGGAAACAGGAUUAGAUACCCUGGUA